UCCUGCAGUCGAGCGGCAGCGCGGGGCAACCUGGCGGCGAGCGGCGAACGGGUGAGUAAUGCAUCGGAACAUGUCCAUUCGUGGGGGAUAGCCCGGCGAAAGCCGGAUUAAUACCGCAUACGCCCGAGAGGGGAAAGUGGGGGACCGCAAGGCCUCACGCGAUUGGGUUGGCCGAUGUCCGAUUAGCUAGUUGGUGGGGUAAAGGCCUACCAAGGCGAUGAUCGGUAGCUGGUCUGAGAGGAUGAUCAGCCACACUGGGACUGAGACACGGCCCAGACUCCUACGGGAGGCAGCAGUGGGGAAUUUUGGACAAUGGGGGCAACCCUGAUCCAGCCAUUCCGCGUGAGUGAAGAAGGCCUUCGGGUUGUAAAGCUCUUUUGUCCGGAACGAAACGGGUGCGGCUAAUACUCGCGCCUACUGACGGUACCGGAAGAAUAAGCACCGGCUAACUACGUGCCAGCAGCCGCGGUAAUACGUAGGGUGCGAGCGUUAAUCGGAAUUACUGGGCGUAAAGCGUGCGCAGGCGGUUUUGUAAGCCAGAUGUGAAAUCCCCGGGCUUAACCUGGGAAUGGCAUUUGGGACUGCAAGGCUGGAGUGCGGCAGANGAGAUUGGAAUUCCUGGUGUAGCAGUGAAAAUGCGUAGAUAUCAGGAGGAAUACCGAUGGCGAAGGCAGGUCUCUGGGCUGACACUGACGCUCAUGCACGAAAGCGUGGGGAGCAAACAGGAUUAGAUACCCUGGUAGUCCACGCCCUAAACGAUGUCNACUGGUUGUUGGGGGUUUGACACUCUCAGUACCGAAGCUAACGCGUGAAGUCGACCGCCUGGGGAGUACGGCCGCAAGGUUAAAAC
RNAcentral lists this ribosomal RNA (850 nucleotides) under uncultured bacterium. RNAcentral's name for it is "bacterial SSU rRNA". It matches the Rfam family "Bacterial small subunit ribosomal RNA", at positions 53 to 900 of the family's 1533-position model. The record is from RNAcentral.